UACGUAGGCAGCAAGCGUUGUUCGAAAUUACUGGGCGUAAAGAGUGUGUAGGCGGUGUUGCGAGUCUGGUGUGAAAUCUCCCGGCUUAACUGGGAGGGUGCAUUAGAAACUGGAAGGCUAGGGGAUGGGAGAGGUAAGCGGAAUUCCUGGUGUAGCGGUGAAAUGCGUAGAUAUCAGGAGGAACACCUGUGGUGUAGACAGCUUACUGGACCAUUUCUGACGCUGAGACACGAAAGCGUGGGUAGCAAACAGG
Molecule: ribosomal RNA, 253 nt
Filed under: uncultured bacterium
Lineage: Bacteria
Description: partial 16S ribosomal RNA
Rfam family: Bacterial small subunit ribosomal RNA
Source: RNAcentral